AACUUUCAGCAACGGAUCUSUUGGCUCUCGCAUCGAUGAAGAACGCAGCGAAAUGCGAUAAGUAAUGUGAAUUGCAGAAUUCAGUGAAUCAUCGAAUCUUUGAACGCACCUUGCGCUCCUUGGUAUUCCGAGGAGCAUGCCUGUUUGAGUGUCAUU
Molecule: ribosomal RNA, 156 nt
Filed under: Cortinarius hinnuleus
Lineage: Eukaryota; Fungi; Basidiomycota; Agaricomycetes; Agaricales; Cortinariaceae
Description: 5.8S ribosomal RNA
Rfam family: 5.8S ribosomal RNA
About the family: 5.8S ribosomal RNA (5.8S rRNA) is a component of the large subunit of the eukaryotic ribosome. It is transcribed by RNA polymerase I as part of the 45S precursor that also contains 18S and 28S rRNA.
Source: RNAcentral